CGAUUUAGAGGUGGCUGACAUACAUGCAGUCGAACGAUGAUGCCCAGCUUGCUGGGCGGAUUAGUGGCGAACGGGUGAGUAAUACGUGAGUAACCUGCCCUUGACUCUGGGAUAAGCCUGGGAAACUGGGUCUAAUACUGGAUACUACCUCUUACCGCAUGGUGGGUGGUGGAAAGGGUUUUACUGGUUUUGGAUGGGCUCACGGCCUAUCAGCUUGUUGGUGGGGUAAUGGCUCACCAAGGCGACGACGGGUAGCCGGCCUGAGAGGGUGACCGGCCACACUGGGACUGAGACACGGCCCAGACUCCUACGGGAGGCAGCAGUGGGGAAUAUUGCACAAUGGGCGGAAGCCUGAUGCAGCGACGCCGCGUGAGGGAUGACGGCCUUCGGGUUGUAAACCUCUUUCAGUAGGGAAGAAGCGAGAGUGACGGUACCUGCAGAAGAAGCGCCGGCUAACUACGUGCCAGCAGCCGCGGUAAUACGUAGGGCGCAAGCGUUGUCCGGAAUUAUUGGGCGUAAAGAGCUCGUAGGCGGUUUGUCGCGUCUGCUGUGAAAGCCCGGGGCUCAACCCCGGGUCUGCAGUGGGUACGGGCAGACUAGAGUGCAGUAGGGGAGACUGGAAUUCCUGGUGUAGCGGUGAAAUGCGCAGAUAUCAGGAGGAACACCGAUGGCGAAGGCAGGUCUCUGGGCUGUUACUGACGCUGAGGAGCGAAAGCAUGGGGAGCGAACAGGAUUAGAUACCCUGGUAGUCCAUGCCGUAAACGUUGGGCACUAGGUGUGGGGGACAUUCCACGUUUUCCGCGCCGUAGCUAACGCAUUAAGUGCCCCGCCUGGGGAGUACGGCCGCAAGGCUAAAACUCAAAGGAAUUGACGGGGGCCCGCACAAGCGGCGGAGCAUGCGGAUUAAUUCGAUGCAACGCGAAGAACCUUACCAAGGCUUGACAUUCACCGGACCGCCCCAGAGAUGGGGUUUCCCUUCGGGGCUGGUGGACAGGUGGUGCAUGGUUGUCGUCAGCUCGUGUCGUGAGAUGUUGGGUUAAGUCCCGCAACGAGCGCAACCCUCGUUCUAUGUUGCCAGCACGUGAUGGUGGGGACUCAUAGGAGACUGCCGGGGUCAACUCGGAGGAAGGUGGGGAUGACGUCAAAUCAUCAUGCCCCUUAUGUCUUGGGCUUCACGCAUGCUACAAUGGCCGGUACAAAGGGUUGCGAUACUGUGAGGUGGAGCUAAUCCCAAAAAGCCGGUCUCAGUUCGGAUUGAGGUCUGCAACUCGACCUCAUGAAGUCGGAGUCGCUAGUAAUCGCAGAUCAGCAACGCUGCGGUGAAUACGUUCCCGGGCCUUGUACACACCGCCCGUCAAGUCACGAAAGUUGGUAACACCCGAAGCCGGUGGUCACUAACCUCGCUUGUGGGAGGGAGCACGUAUAUACGGAUGACUCCUUCCGCG
RNAcentral lists this ribosomal RNA (1445 nucleotides) under Kocuria sp. Ats1. RNAcentral's name for it is "bacterial SSU rRNA". It matches the Rfam family "Bacterial small subunit ribosomal RNA". Lineage: Bacteria; Bacillati; Actinomycetota; Actinomycetes; Micrococcales; Micrococcaceae. The record is from RNAcentral.